GAUGAACGCUGGCGGCGUGCCUAAUACAUGCAAGUCGAGCGAACAGACGAGGAGCUUGCUCCUCUGACGUUAGCGGCGGACGGGUGAGUAACACGUGGAUAACCUACCUAUAAGACUGGGAUAACUUCGGAAACCGGAGCUAAUACCCGAUAAUAUAUUGAACCGCAUGGUUCAAUAGUGAAAGACGGUUUUGCUGUCACUUAUAGAUGGAUCCGCGCCGCAUUAGCUAGUUGGUAAGGUAACGGCUUACCAAGGCAACGAUGCGUAGCCGACCGGAGAGGGGGAUCGCCACCAUCGGAACUGAGACCGGGUCCAGAACCCUAAGGGAGGGAGGAGGAGGGAAUUUUCCGAAAGGGGGGAAAGCCGGACGGAGCAACGCCGGGUGAGUGAUGAAGGUUUUCGGAUCGUAAAACUCUGUUAUUAGGGAAAAAAAAAUGUGUAAGUAACUAUGCACGUUUUGACGGUACCUAAUCAGAAAGCCCCGGCUAACUACGU
RNAcentral lists this ribosomal RNA (495 nucleotides) under uncultured bacterium. RNAcentral describes it as "partial 16S ribosomal RNA". It matches the Rfam family "Bacterial small subunit ribosomal RNA", at positions 28 to 506 of the family's 1533-position model. The record is from RNAcentral.